UACGUAGGGUGCAAGCGUUGUCCGGAAUUAUUGGGCGUAAAGGGCGCGUAGGCGGGCCGGAAAGUCUGUGGUGAAAGCCUCCAGCUUAACUGGAGAAGUGCCAUGGAUACUGCCGGUCUGGAGGAGGGUAGGGGCAUCUGGAACGCUGGGUGGAGCGGUGAAAUGCGUUGAGAUCGGAAGGAACGCCGAUGGCGAAAGCAAGGUCCUGGACUCGUCCUGACGCUGAGGCGCGAAAGCCAGGGGAGCGAACGGG
RNAcentral lists this ribosomal RNA (253 nucleotides) under uncultured bacterium. Its description in RNAcentral is "partial 16S ribosomal RNA". It matches the Rfam family "Bacterial small subunit ribosomal RNA", at positions 524 to 776 of the family's 1533-position model. The record is from RNAcentral.